AAUCAACGCUGGCGGCGUGCCUCAGACAUGCAAGUCGAACGAUUAAAGCUCUCUUCGGAGAGUGUAUAGAGUGGCGCACGGGUGAGUAACACGUAAGUAAUCUACCCUCGAGUGGGGAAUAACGUCCGGAAACGGACGCUAAUACCGCAUAAUGCAGCGGCACCGCAAGGUGACAGUUGUUAAAGAUUUAUCGCUUGAGGAGGAGCUUGCGGCAGAUUAGCAGUUGGUAAGGUAAUGGCUUACCAAGGCUACGAUCUGUAACCGGUCUAAGAGGACGGUCGGUCACACUGACACUGAAUAACGGGUCAGACUCCUACGGGAGGCAGCAGUCGGGAAUUUUGGGCAAUGGGCGAAAGCCUGACCCAGCAACGCCGCGUGAAGGAUGAAGUAUUUUCGGUAUGUAAACUUCGAAAGAAUGGGAAGAAUCAAUGACGGUACCAUUUAUAAGGUCCGGCUAACUACGUGCCAGCAGCCGCCGCGGUAAC
This 485-nucleotide ribosomal RNA is filed under the name uncultured bacterium. RNAcentral describes it as "bacterial SSU rRNA". It matches the Rfam family "Bacterial small subunit ribosomal RNA", at positions 32 to 524 of the family's 1533-position model. The record is from RNAcentral.